Pelobates cultripes (western spadefoot toad) is the source of this 223-nucleotide non-coding RNA. NCBI's taxonomy places the organism in Eukaryota, Metazoa, Chordata, Amphibia, Anura, Pelobatidae. The record is from the annotation of a GenBank genome assembly.
GGAUAGAGUACAGCAAGUUGUCAUUAAUGGUUAAUUUUCAAACUGUAAAAGAGUGAUAAGUGGUGUCCCUCAUGGUUCUGUUUUGAAGGCGCUUCUAUUUAACAUUCAUAAAUGAUCUUGAAAUAGGGAUUGAAAGCCAUGUUUUAGUGUUUGCAGGUGACAAAAAACAUUGUAAAGUAAUAAAAUGUAAGCAGGAUAUUGCUAUGCUACAGAGGGAUUUAGA